This 498-nucleotide ribosomal RNA is filed under the name uncultured bacterium. RNAcentral's name for it is "partial 16S ribosomal RNA". It matches the Rfam family "Bacterial small subunit ribosomal RNA", at positions 28 to 507 of the family's 1533-position model. The record is from RNAcentral.
GACGAACGCUGGCGGCGUGCCUAAUACAUGCAAGUCGAGCGGACGGAUGGGAGCUUGCUCCCCGACCGUCAGCGGCGGACGGGUGGGUAACACGUGGGCAACCUGCCUGUAAGACUGGGAUAACUCCGGGAAACAGGGUCUAAUACCGGAUAACUCUUUCCCUCACGUGAGGGCAAGCUGAAAGCUGGCAUCUCGCUAUCACUUACAGCUGUGCCCGCGGCGCAUUAGCUAGUUGGUGAGGUAACGGCUCACCAAGGCGACGGUGCGUAGCCGACCUGAGAGGGUGAUCGGCCACACUGGGACUGAGACACGGCCCAGACUCCUACGGGAGGCAGCAGUAGGGAAUCUUCCGCAAUGGACGAAAGUCUGACGGAGCAACGCCGCGUGAGUGAUGAAGGUUUUCGGAUCGUAAAACUCUGUUGUCAGGGAAGAACAAGUACCGGAGUAACUGCCGGUACCUUGACGGUACCUGACCAGAAAGCCACGGCUAACUACGUG